UGGAUGGAAGGUGGUGACUUCUCGUGGGAAGGAUGGGCGUGGCUUCAGGUGGGUUGGAUGGAAGGUGGUGACUUCUCGUGGAAGGAUGGGCGUGGCUUCAGGUGGGUUGGAUGGAAGGUGGUGACUUCUCGUGGGAAGGAUGGGCGUGGCUUCAGGUGGGGUUGGAUGGAAGGUGGUGACUUCUCGUGGGAAGGAUGGGCGUGGCUUCAGGUGGGUUGGAUGGAAGGUGGUGACUUCUCGUGGAAGGAUGGGCGUGGCUUUAUGUGGCUUCAGGUGGCUUCAGAUGUGAAGGAUGAUUGUAGGGAACUGGUUAGCAGUCUGUUUUACCUCUAUGAUAUCGAGGCCACACCCACGUUCCCAUCGAUGAACUUAGACAUGCCUUUUGUUGUCUGUGAUGUGCAGACAGACCCUAUUGUUCCUGUGUGCUGGUUCAGGGUGGUGUGUGUGUGUGUGUGUGUGUGUGUGUGUGUGUGUGAUGGUUAGAGCUGAGUGUGCGGUUUGCUACUGUGGCCUCAGUGCUGUUUUAACAAAACUCUUUUUGUCCCGCUGCUUGUUCAAUAAAGCGCUGAUGCUUCACUAAAAGCUUUUGUUCCAGCCGAUCCACCCGGAACACACACACACACACACACACACACACACACACCAUAUUCUAGUCACUGAUUAAGCCUCAUUUAGAUGAAUAACAAAGCUCUGAAACACCUCAUACAACAACAGGAGAGCUCAUAUAACCUGUG
Long non-coding RNA from Ictalurus punctatus (channel catfish), 734 nucleotides. The record is from Ensembl. NCBI's taxonomy places the organism in Eukaryota, Metazoa, Chordata, Actinopteri, Siluriformes, Ictaluridae.